Podarcis muralis (Common wall lizard) is the source of this 1349-nucleotide long non-coding RNA. RefSeq lists it as uncharacterized. The record is from RefSeq and is a predicted model, not a curated record. NCBI's taxonomy places the organism in Eukaryota, Metazoa, Chordata, Lepidosauria, Squamata, Lacertidae.
AACUCCCACGGCGGGAAAGAGGAGAGGUUUGCGGAGAGCGGCACCUGGCGGGGGGAGGACCGUACAGCGCUGGGAGGGCGAGAUACGGGGUCGUGCAAAAAAGGGUUGAUUUGAUGGAGGGUGGGGGAAGGAAGAACCUGUUUUUUGGGCGGGGAAAGAAUUAUGGUUUGCGGAAAAUAAGUUUGCCACACGGAGUUGGAGGAAAGGAAGAGCUGGAAUGACUGACGGAUCCCCCUAAAUAGAUGGACAGCUGUGGAGAGGCUGCCACGAUUUAUAACAGGGUUCUUGGGACAACUUGCAACAUUUUAAAAUUCAAAAGAAUACUGAAGUACAACAACAAGUCCCAGAGAAUAAAAACAGCUUAAAGCUAAAAUGUAUUAAAAGGUCCUAGAAACAGAAAAGAGGUUUUCCCUGCUGCUAAAAAGACCGUAAGGGAAGUGCCAGGUGAGCUUCUCUGGGGAGAGAAUUCUACUGCACGGAUGCCACCAUUGAAAAGGCUUCAUCCAGCUCUCCUAUGAGGGUGUUUGGGAACCAGCCACUCAGGGUUCAGGACACACGGAGCAGACUGCAAUGUCUGUGCAUCCACAUGGAAUGGACUGCAGUACGAACCCAUCUCCUUGGAUCUGCAGUUGCUGAAGGACUCGGCAUCUGAGGAAGUCUUGACCUGCGGCCACGACAAAUGCUAAAUGUGUGCCAUGGUGGCGCUUUUGGAAUUAAGAAGAGCUCAGCUCUGGCUUUGAUGGUUUGCAGGCAGAGAGAAUGCAAUGCCGCAGAGAGCACAUCCCUAGUCUGAGCUUUGGGCCCCUUGGCGUCUAGCCGUACAAGUUAGCAACAAUACCUACAGAUUUUUCCCAAUCGACUCACUAGGGUGGAGUUGCUUCAACACAGUGGUCUUGGUUGCAUCCGUCAGGAAAGCUCAGGAGAAGGCAAGAACAUCUGUCCUGCUGCAUAGAGCUGGUGUAAAGGUUAUUUGCUGAGAAGGUCCGUGGGAAUUGUACCUGGAACCGAUGACCAGGCAAGUAGCAAACGUCAUGGCAGAGCUGCAUACUUCCUGUCUUUCACUGUCUCUCAUGACCACCAGCACUGUUAUGAUGACCGAGGCUGCAUCUCCUACUCUUGUGCUAUGAUCUUCCUAAGAAAUGGUCCCCCCCGCCCCCGUGCCUGUUAUUUAAAAGUACACACUGUGGUUGCUGUUAAUCGUGUCAUAAACAUCACAUCUAGUCAAGUUCUAGUCCCUCAUUAAUGGGGAAGGACUCCAUGUUGAAAGCAAACACAGAAGGAAGUUUUAAGGAAUCAAAUGGGAAUUAAAGAAACCAUUAUAUGAGAAACUGUUUCAAACAAUUUCAUUG